Molecule: ribosomal RNA, 393 nt
Filed under: uncultured bacterium
Lineage: Bacteria
Description: bacterial SSU rRNA
Rfam family: Bacterial small subunit ribosomal RNA
Source: RNAcentral
AUUAAACGCUGGCGGCAUGCCUUACACAUGCAAGUCGAACGGUAGCGCGGGGCAACCUGGCGACGAGUGGCGAACGGGUGAGUAAAGCAUCGGAACGUGCCUGGAAUGGGGAUAACGUAGCGAAAGUUACGCUAAUACCGCAUAUUCUGUGAGCAGGAAAGCAGGGAUCGCAAGACCUUGCGUUCUGGGGAGCGGCCGAUGUCGGAUUAGCUAGUUGGUGGGGUAAAAGCCUACCAAGGCGACGAUCCGUAGCGGGUCUGAGAGGAUGAUCCGCCACACUGGGACUGAGACACGGCCCAGACUCCUACGGGAGGCAGCAGUGGGGAAUUUUGGACAAUGGGCGGAAGCCUGAUCCAGCCAUGCCGCGUGAGUGAAGAAGGCCUCGGUUGUAAG